AAAGGGAGAUUAAUACCCCAUAAUAUUUAGAAUGGCAUCAUUUUAAAUUGAAAACUCCGGUGGAUAGAGAUGGGCACGCGCAAGAUUAGAUAGUUGGUGAGGUAACGGCUCACCAAGUCUACGAUCUUUAGGGGGCCUGAGAGGGUGAUCCCCCACACUGGUACUGAGACACGGACCAGACUCCUACGGGAGGCAGCAGUGAGGAAUAUUGGACAAUGGGUGAGAGCCUGAUCCAGCCAUCCCGCGUGAAGGACGACGGCCCUAUGGGUUGUAAACUUCUUUUGUAUAGGGAUAAACCUACUCUCGUGAGAGUAGCUGAAGGUACUAUACGAAUAAGCACCGGCUAACUCCGUGCCAGCAGCCGCGGUAAUACGGAGGGUGCAAGCGUUAUCCGGAUUUAUUGGGUUUAAAGGGUCCGUAGGCGGAUCUGUAAGUCAGUGGUGAAAUCUCACAGCUUAACUGUGAAACUGCCAUUGAUACUGCAGGUCUUGAGUGUUGUUGAAGUAGCUGGAAUAAGUAGUGUAGCGGUGAAAUGCAUAGAUAUUACUUAGAACACCAAUUGCGAAGGCAGGUUACUAAGCAACAACUGACGCUGAUGGACGAAAGCGUGGGGAGCGAACAGGAUUAGAUACCCUGGUAGUCCACGCCGUAAACGAUGCUAACUCGUUUUUGGGCUUUCGGGUUCAGAGACUAAGCGAAAGUGAUAAGUUAGCCACCUGGGGAGUACGUUCGCAAGAAUGAAACUCAAAGGAAUUGACGGGGGCCCGCACAAGCGGUGGAUUAUGUGGUUUAAUUCGAUGAUACGCGAGGAACCUUACCAAGGCUUAAAUGGGAAAUGACAGGUUUAGAAAUAGACUUUUCUUCGGACAUUUUUCAAGGUGCUGCAUGGUUGUCGUCAGCUCGUGCCGUGAGGUGUUAGGUUAAGUCCUGCAACGAGCGCAACCCCUGUCACUAGUUGCCAUCAUUAAGUUGGGGACUCUAGUGAGACUGCCUACGCAAGUAGAGAGGAAGGUGGGGAUGACGUCAAAUCAUCACGGCCCUUACGCCUUGGGCCACACACGUAAUACAAUGGCCAGUACAGAGGGCAGCUACACGGUGACGUGAUGCAAAUCUCGAAAGCUGGUCUCAGUUCGGAUUGGAGUCUGCAACUCGACUCUAUGAAGCU
RNAcentral lists this ribosomal RNA (1165 nucleotides) under Chryseobacterium sp. Its description in RNAcentral is "bacterial SSU rRNA". It matches the Rfam family "Bacterial small subunit ribosomal RNA", at positions 154 to 1327 of the family's 1533-position model. Lineage: Bacteria; Pseudomonadati; Bacteroidota; Flavobacteriia; Flavobacteriales; Weeksellaceae. The record is from RNAcentral.